CUGCUGCCUUCCGUAGGAGUCUGGUCCGUGUCUCAGUACCAGUGUGGGGGACCUUCCUCUCAGAACCCCUACGCAUCGUCGCCACGGUGGGCCGUUACCCCGCCGUCUAGCUAAUGCGCCGCAUGCCCAUCCUCUUCCGAUGAAUCUUUCCUCGAUCUCGGAUGCCCGAAACCGAUAUACGCGGGAUUAGCCUCCCUUUCGGAAGGUUGUCCCCCUGAAGAGGGCAGGUUGCAUACGUGUUACUCACCGUGCGCCGGUCGCCGG
This 264-nucleotide ribosomal RNA is filed under the name uncultured bacterium. Its description in RNAcentral is "partial 16S ribosomal RNA". The record is from RNAcentral.